UACGUAGGGUGCAAGCGUUGUCCGGAAUUAUUGGGCGUAAAGAGCUCGUAGGCGGUCUGUCGCGUCUGGUGUGAAAAUCCAGGGCUUAACCCUGGACCUGCAUCGGGUACGGGCAGACUAGAGUGCGGUAGGGGAGAUCGGAAUUCCUGGUGUAGCGGUGAAAUGCGCAGAUAUCAGGAGGAACACCGGUGGCGAAGGCGGGUCCCUGGGCCGAUACUGACGCUGAGGAGCGAAAGCGUGGGGAGCAAACAGG
RNAcentral lists this ribosomal RNA (253 nucleotides) under uncultured bacterium. RNAcentral's name for it is "partial 16S ribosomal RNA". It matches the Rfam family "Bacterial small subunit ribosomal RNA", at positions 524 to 776 of the family's 1533-position model. The record is from RNAcentral.